ACGCUAGCUACAGGCUUAACACAUGCAAGUCGAGGGGCAGCAUGGUCUUAGCUUGCUAAGGCCGAUGGCGACCGGCGCACGGGUGAGUAACACGUAUCCAACCUGCCGUCUACUCUUGGACAGCCUUCUGAAAGGAAGAUUAAUACAAGAUGGCAUCAUGAGUCCGCAUGUUCACAUGAUUAAAGGUAUUCCGGUAGACGAUGGGGAUGCGUUCCAUUAGAUAGUAGGCGGGGUAACGGCCCACCUAGUCUUCGAUGGAUAGGGGUUCUGAGAGGAAGGUCCCCCACAUUGGAACUGAGACACGGUCCAAACUCCUACGGGAGGCAGCAGUGAGGAAUAUUGGUCAAUGGGCGCAGGCCUGAACCAGCCAAGUAGCGUGAAGGAUGACUGCCCUAUGGGUUGUAAACUUCUUUUAUAAAGGAAUAAAGUCGGGUAUGGAUACCCGUUUGCAUGUACUUUAUGAAUAAGGAUCGGCUAACUCCGUGCCAGCAGCCGCGGUAAUACGGAGGAUCCGAGCGUUAUCCGGAUUUAUUGGGUUUAAAGGGAGCGUAGAUGGAUGUUUAAGUCAGUUGUGAAAGUUUGCGGCUCAACCGUAAAAUUGCAGUUGAUACUGGAUAUCUUGAGUGCAGUUGAGGCAGGCGGAAUUCGUGGUGUAGCGGUGAAAUGCUUAGAUAUCACGAAGAACUCCGAUUGCGAAGGCAGCCUGCUAAGCUGCAACUGACAUUGAGGCUCGAAAGUGUGGGUAUCAAACAGGAUUAGAUACCCUGGUAGUCCACACGGUAAACGAUGAAUACUCGCUGUUUGCGAUAUACGGCAAGCGGCCAAGCGAAAGCGUUAAGUAUUCCACCUGGGGAGUACGCCGGCAACGGUGAAACUCAAAGGAAUUGACGGGGGCCCGCACAAGCGGAGGAACAUGUGGUUUAAUUCGAUGAUACGCGAGGAACCUUACCCGGGCUUAAAUUGCAGAUGAAUUACGGUGAAAGCCGUAAGCCGCAAGGCAUCUGUGAAGGUGCUGCAUGGUUGUCGUCAGCUCGUGCCGUGAGGUGUCGGCUUAAGUGCCAUAACGAGCGCAACCCUUGUUGUCAGUUACUAACAGGUUCCGCUGAGGACUCUGACAAGACUGCCAUCGUAAGAUGUGAGGAAGGUGGGGAUGACGUCAAAUCAGCACGGCCCUUACGUCCGGGGCUACACACGUGUUACAAUGGGGGGUACAGAGGGCCGCUACCACGCGAGUGGAUGCCAAUCCCAAAAACCUCUCUCAGUUCGGACUGGAGUCUGCAACCCGACUCCACGAAGCUGGAUUCGCUAGUAAUCGCGCAUCAGCCACGGCGCGGUGAAUACGUUCCCGGGCCUUGUACACACCGCCCGUCAAGCCAUGGGAGCCGGGGGUACCUGAAGUGCGUAACCGCGAGGAGCGCCCUAGGGUAAAACUGGUGACUGGGGCUAA
RNAcentral lists this ribosomal RNA (1447 nucleotides) under uncultured organism. RNAcentral's name for it is "SSU rRNA". It matches the Rfam family "Bacterial small subunit ribosomal RNA". The record is from RNAcentral.